RNAcentral lists this ribosomal RNA (460 nucleotides) under uncultured bacterium. Its description in RNAcentral is "partial 16S ribosomal RNA". It matches the Rfam family "Bacterial small subunit ribosomal RNA", at positions 338 to 795 of the family's 1533-position model. The record is from RNAcentral.
CCUACGGGAGGCAGCAGUGAGGAAUCUUGGUCAAUGGACGAGAGUCUCAUCCAGCCAAGCAGCGUGAAGGAUGACUGCCCUAUGGGUUGUAAACUUCUUUUAUAUGGGAAUAAAAUGUUCCACGUGUGGGAUGUUGUAUGUACCAUAUGAAUAAGGCUCGGCUAACUCCGUGCAAGCAGCCGCGGUAAUACGGAGGAUCCGAGCGUUAUCCGGAUUUAGUGGGUUUAAAGGGAGCGAAGGUGGAUUGUUAAGGCAAUUGUGAAAGUGUGCGGGUCAACCGUAACAUGGCAGUUGAAACUGGCAGUCUGGAGUACAGUAGAGGUGCGUGGAAUUCGUGGUGUAGCGGUGAAAUGCUUAGAUAGCACGAAGAACUCCGAUUGCGAAGGCAGCGCACUGGACUGCAACUGACACUGAGGCUCGAAAGUGUGGGUAUCAAACAGGAUUAGAUACCCCAGUAGUC